GCUUAUCCAUGUUCUCUGGACUUGCGUUCUUGCUCCCCUUUCAGUUAUGAGGACUUUGAGAAACAUCUGCAUGGGGAGGGGAUACUAAAUUUUCUGAGCUGAGAGACCAGAGCAGGACCUUCAGCUGCUUGUUCAUCUUUCGGGCAGCGGACCUGUCUCGGAGGAUGCAGUUGGCUCUGGAGAGCUGGUCAGUGCUGUGGGAGCUGCUCUAGUGCCGGUCUUGUGUUCUCUCUUAGUGCUACAUUCUGUCAACCCUCAUCAAUUUAAUUAUACUGAUGUUAAAAAGCCA
Long non-coding RNA from Xiphias gladius (swordfish), 289 nucleotides. RefSeq lists it as uncharacterized. Lineage: Eukaryota; Metazoa; Chordata; Actinopteri; Istiophoriformes; Xiphiidae. The record is from RefSeq and is a predicted model, not a curated record. The transcript has 2 exons.